This 334-nucleotide small RNA is filed under the name Pan troglodytes (chimpanzee). RNAcentral describes it as "processed transcript". Lineage: Eukaryota; Metazoa; Chordata; Mammalia; Primates; Hominidae. The record is from RNAcentral.
CCAGCCAAGCCUGAAGCCCCAAAGAAGCAGCGCUCCCCAGCCCCACCGGAAGAGCUGGUGACCCCAGGCUCCACCGGCCCGAAGUCAGACCUCACUGGAGAGCAGCAGUCCAAGUCACCAGUCCCUGGUGUGAAGCAGGAGGCGAAAACAGAAGAACAGAUUGCAGCAGAAGAGGCCUGGAAUGAGACGGAGAAGGUGUGGCUGGUCCAUAGGGACGGCUUCUCACUGGCCAGUCAACUCAAAUCUGAGGAGCUCAACUUGCCUGAGGGGAAGGUGCGUGUGAAGCUGGACCACGAUGGGGCCAUCCUGGAUGUGGAUGAGGAUGAUGUUGAGA